Pocillopora damicornis (cauliflower coral) is the source of this 656-nucleotide long non-coding RNA. RefSeq lists it as uncharacterized. The record is from RefSeq and is a predicted model, not a curated record. Lineage: Eukaryota; Metazoa; Cnidaria; Anthozoa; Scleractinia; Pocilloporidae.
UCUAAUGCGAGGCAUCUUACUUUCCCGCCUUUUGAAGUCGGAAAACUCAUUUGAAUUACAAAUAAAUUUCCAAAUUAAUAUUCAUAUUUGUGCUCAGUAUUGCACGUGGAAAAAGCUUUCAAACUACAAGAAAUUUGAGCGUCUUUUUAGCUUCUAUAGAGUCAAGAAACUCGUCAUUUGGACCCUAUACCUUAGAUAUUGUCCUUUCUGUCCAGGUCGGCAAGUUUUUUUUUUUUUUUAAGCUGGAUGAAGUGGUUCAAAUACCAUGACGAGGAUUCAUUCCUCUCACUUUAUCACGACUCCUCUUCAGGGCAGCAACAAGAUGAAAAUGAGAAGACUUCGAAAUCAAGAAAGUCAAGGAAGCAAAGAAAUACAUGGGAAGACUGACUGGUAAAUAUCCCUGGUACUUCAAGCACGAAUCAAAAAAGACAGACUAUGAUCCAAGUGACAGACGAGAUUUAUUCAGGAUCAGGUGCAAAACAGUUGUAGCGCAUUUCUUACAACAACUUCGAAUCAGAACUAAGAUUCAAACGCUAAAAUGGAAAACUGGAAAGUUGUUAUUCGUGAUUCUCUCUCAGUUCAAUUCAUGUUAAGGGCUGUUUGAGGCGGAAGAUUUUCCCGCCAAAAAACUUAGAAAAAAUACGGGCGCCCAAAAU